AGCUCCAAUAGCGUAUAUUAAAGUUGUUGCAGUUAAAAAGCUCGUAGUUGGAUCUCGAAAUAGAAAGAGUUUGAUCCCUUGAAAAACAUCAAGAGUGUAUCAACUCUUUUAUUUCCAAUUUGUCAGGCUUAUAUACCCUGCCUUAAUUGGUAGAGUAUAAAAGGAGUUCGCUCUGAAAGUUCUGACUAGUUUACUUUGAAAAAAUUAGAGUGUUCAAAGCAAGUGAAAUUUUCACUAUCGAAUAUUACAGCAUGGGAUAAUAGAAUAGGACUUCAUUCUUAGUUUCUUGGUUCGAGGAAUGAGGUAAUGAUUAAUAGGGAUAGUCGGGGGCAUUAGUAUUUCAUUGUCAGAGGUGAAAUUCUUGGAUUAAUGAAAGACUAACUUAAGCGAAAGCAUCUGC
RNAcentral lists this ribosomal RNA (400 nucleotides) under phytoplankton environmental sample. RNAcentral's name for it is "partial small subunit ribosomal RNA". It matches the Rfam family "Eukaryotic small subunit ribosomal RNA", at positions 587 to 958 of the family's 1831-position model. The record is from RNAcentral.